This 2074-nucleotide long non-coding RNA is filed under the name Drosophila guanche. Lineage: Eukaryota; Metazoa; Arthropoda; Insecta; Diptera; Drosophilidae. The record is from RNAcentral.
AGAAACCGGUACACGUUGGAAGGACUAUAUAUUGGUGACUCUGUUGUUAAGCGCUAUUAUUGGCUGUUGGUAUGCUUACCAGCAAAAUAAAAAUGCCAAGCGUCACCUACGUCGUAUGGCUCAGGAUAUGGAAGGAUUGCAGAAAGCCGAACAAAGUCUACAGGAGAUGCAGAAGGUUUGUUGGUUUGAUAAAAAUAAUUUUAAAUAAUUGUUGAAUAUUGUAGGAACUAGAGCGUGCUAGAAUGGAACAGGAAAAUGUGGCAACGGAAAAAAUGGACCUAGAACGGCGUCUUAAAGAGGCCCCCUCUCUUAGCUCAUCAAACUCAGACCUAGAGGUGUUGCAGUUGAAAAAAGAAGUGGAAAUGUUGCGAAAUGAAUUGUCGCGGGCCGAAUUCGAGUUGGUUGAUAAUUGCUGGGCCCCACCUCCGCAACUUCAAUCGUGGUUGCAAUACACAUAUGAACUAGAAAGUAAGAACCAUCAGAAGAAGCGCGCAUCUGCAGAGAAGCAGCUUCAGUCAGCAAGAGAGGCUUGUGAAAAAUUGCGUAAGAAGCGUUCGAGUUUGGUAGGAGCGUUUGUGUCUACCCACGGAAAAAGUAUUGAUGACGUUGAUCGUUCUAUUGUUGAGGCCCGCAAUGCUCUAGGAGAAGUAACAAAUGAACUACAAGAGCGAUUGCAUCGCUGGAAACAAAUUGAAACGUGCCUUGGAAUAAAUAUCGUAAAUAACAAUGGGUUGUCAUGUUUGGAAAAUGUGCUGUAUGGUCGCAAUGGUGGUUUCCAAAGUUCGAUUGGAGGAAGUGGUUCAAAAGGCUCAAGAAGUAAGCAUUUAUCUGUUUUUAAUAUUGUUUGGUACAAGUCGAAAUUUACCAUGAAUAUUCUUUGUCUGUUUAAAAAGCACGAAUUACUAGCAGUACUGAUGACCUAGAUGACGAGUCUGUGCAAGGUAAGCUGAACUUUGAGAACUUUUCGCUGCUCGCAACGGAAUAAACCUGCUGCGUCCGAUUGCACAACACAACUCAUCAAUAAAUACAAACAAACUGACAACUUACAGACAGUAAAAAACAGAGCUCGAUUGCUUUUUACUUAUUGAGUCUCAAUGAAAUUGUUGAAAAAUAAGAGAUUCUAUGUGUGUUUAUCAUUCAUGUAUUAAUGAUUAUGUAUAAAAUUGUAAUAUAGAUUUGUAUCUUAUAAUUGAUGAAGCUAAUAUUGCAUCCAUUAUGUUAUAUGAAGAUAUUUUUCAAAAACAAGCACAAAUGACGUGAUAUACUUUGAAAAUAUGCACGUAUUGAAUGUACUUAUAAAUAAUUUACAAUAAUCGUAGUGUGUUAAAUAAAUUAAACGCUAAUCUUUUUUAAUGGCUUGCCGCUACCUUCAGAACUUUUUAUUACUUUGCAGAGAGAAUACAUCUUAAAAUAUGCCAUUCAGUUAAAUUGUAAUAGUUGAUUGUCUUCCUAAAUUUAAUACAUUUACAUCAAUGUAUACUAAAAUGUAUAAAAUUAUUGUUAAAAUAUGUGUUAACUUUUUCUCUGACACUUAACCUACAGAACUGAACCAGACAAAUUGCUCAUAUUGGACGGAACUUUUCUAAAUGUUGACGUUCCCAAGACAGGAAAAGUCGAAAUAAACUAGUUUAUUUUUGUUUAUAUAUUAUUCGUAUAGGCUCGUUUAUAUAGAGGAUUCUUUGGAUGGAGGAACAAUAUUUAAAAGUCCCUUUCGUUUAUUUGUAUAAAAUUUUGACACAUUUGCCUGUAACGUACCGAAUGGGAUAUAAAUUAGAAAUGCGUUUUUAGUUUUGGCCAAAUAGCUUUAGCUUAGCCAUUUAUUCAAAUAUAUAAACGAUGCCUUUAAUGACACUCAAUUGACAUGGUUAUACGUAUAAAGUAUAAAACAAAAACAAAUAAUUUAUUUCGAUGAUUCUUGAGUUUUCAAAGUAGAAAUUUGAAAGCGUAAUAUAUCCCAGUUUUUGUUUUGGUUGUUCCAUAGAGUAUUCUUUUCCUGUGAACAAUUUAAAAAAUAUGUGAAUUAAGCGAAUGAUAUCGAAAUGUAUAAUUAAAAAAAUAUUUUGCAAGGGAUUUC